Molecule: microRNA, 23 nt
Filed under: Gallus gallus (chicken)
Lineage: Eukaryota; Metazoa; Chordata; Aves; Galliformes; Phasianidae
Description: gga-miR-1730-5p
Source: miRBase by way of RNAcentral
CAGCUAACAGAGGUGGAACCUUG